This 383-nucleotide ribosomal RNA is filed under the name uncultured eukaryote. RNAcentral describes it as "partial 18S ribosomal RNA". It matches the Rfam family "Eukaryotic small subunit ribosomal RNA", at positions 592 to 976 of the family's 1831-position model. The record is from RNAcentral.
CAAUAGCGUAUAUUAAAGUUGUUGCAGUUAAAAAGCUCGUAGGUGGAUUUCUGGUGGGAGCGAUCGGUCUGGCGCUUAGCGCGAGUACUUGCAUCGUCUCCGGCCAUCCUUGGGGAGAGUCUGUCUGGCAUUAGGUUGUCGGGCAGAGGAUCCUCAUCGUUUACUGUGAAAAAAUUAGAGUGUUCAAAGCAGGCUUAUGCCGUUGAAUAUAUUAGCAUGGAAUAAUAAGAUAGGACUUUGGUACUAUUUUGUUGGUUUGCGCACCAAAGUAAUGAUUAAUAGGGACAGUUGGGGGUAUUCGUAUUCCGUUGUCAGAGGUGAAAUUCUUGGAUUUACGGAAGACGAACUACUGCGAAAGCAUUUACCAAGGAUGUUUUCAUUAA